GGACCCGCACAAGUAGUGGAGCAUGUGGUUUAAUUCGAAGAUACGCGCAGAACCUUACCAACACUUGACAUGUUCGUCGCGACUUUAAGAGAUUAAAGUUUUCGGUUCGGCCGGACGAAACACAGGUGCUGCAUGGCUGUCGUCAGCUCGUGUCGUGAGAUGUUGGUUAAGUCCCGCAACGAGCGCAACCCUCACUUUUAGUUGCCAUCAUUUAGUUGGGCACUCUGAAAGAACUGCCAGUGAUAAGCUGGAGGAAGGUGGGGAUGACGUCAAGUCCUCAUGGCCCUUACGUGUUGGGCUACACACGUGCUACAAUGAUAUUUACACAGGAAGCAAAACCGCGAGGUUAAGCA
Molecule: ribosomal RNA, 353 nt
Filed under: uncultured bacterium
Lineage: Bacteria
Description: bacterial SSU rRNA
Rfam family: Bacterial small subunit ribosomal RNA
Source: RNAcentral